This 72-nucleotide transfer RNA is filed under the name Rothia sp. (in: high G+C Gram-positive bacteria). RNAcentral's name for it is "tRNA-OTHER". It matches the Rfam family "tRNA". Rfam says of the family: Transfer RNA (tRNA) molecules are approximately 80 nucleotides in length. Their secondary structure includes four short double-helical elements and three loops (D, anti-codon, and T loops). Lineage: Bacteria; Bacillati; Actinomycetota; Actinomycetes; Micrococcales; Micrococcaceae. The record is from RNAcentral.
GGGGGAUGUAGCGCAAUUGGUAGUGCGUCUGCUUCUUAGCAGAAGAUAGGGGUUCGAUUCCCUUCUCCUCCA